This 253-nucleotide ribosomal RNA is filed under the name uncultured bacterium. RNAcentral describes it as "partial 16S ribosomal RNA". It matches the Rfam family "Bacterial small subunit ribosomal RNA", at positions 524 to 776 of the family's 1533-position model. The record is from RNAcentral.
UACAGGGGGUGCAAACGUUGCUCGGAAUUAUUGGGCGUAAAGCGCGCGUAGGCGGCCACUUAAGUCGGAUGUGAAAGCCCCUGGCUCAACUGGGGAAGUGCACUCGAAACUGGCCGGCUUGAAUAUGGAAGAGGGUCGCGGAAUUCCCGGUGUAGAGGUGAAAUUCGUAGAUAUCGGGAGGAACACCAGUGGCGAAGGCGGCGACCUGGGCCAAUAUUGACGCUGAGGUGCGAAAGCGUGGGGAGCAAACAGG